This 428-nucleotide ribosomal RNA is filed under the name uncultured bacterium. RNAcentral's name for it is "bacterial SSU rRNA". It matches the Rfam family "Bacterial small subunit ribosomal RNA", at positions 355 to 775 of the family's 1533-position model. The record is from RNAcentral.
UGGGGAAUCUUGCGCAAUGCACGACAGUGUGACGCAGCAACGCCGCGUGGGGGAAGAAGGCCUUCGGGUCGUAAACCCCUUUCAGGAGGGACGAAGCUCGGGCUGUUAAUAGCUGACUCGAGUGACGGUACCUCCAGAAGAAGCCCCGGCUAACUACGUGCCAGCAGCCGCGGUAAUACGUAGGGGGCAAGCGUUGUCCGGAAUCAUUGGGCGUAGAGCGCGUGUAGGCGGUCCGAUAAGUCGGUUGUGAAAGUCAAGGGCUCAACCCUUGAAUGCCGACCGAUACUGUCGGGCUAGAGUCCGGAAGAGGUGAGUGGAAUUCCUGGUGUAGCGGUGAAAUGCGCAGAUAUCAGGAGGAACACCAAUGGCGAAGGCAGCUCACUGGGACGGUACUGACGCUGAGACGCGAAAGCGUGGGGAGCAAACAG